Molecule: ribosomal RNA, 473 nt
Filed under: Escherichia coli
Lineage: Bacteria; Pseudomonadati; Pseudomonadota; Gammaproteobacteria; Enterobacterales; Enterobacteriaceae
Description: bacterial SSU rRNA
Rfam family: Bacterial small subunit ribosomal RNA
Source: RNAcentral
CGCGGUGGACUGUGGUUUAUUCGAUGCAACGCGAAGAACCUUACCUGGUCUUGACAUCCACAGAACUUUCCAGAGAUGGAUUGGUGCCUUCGGGAACUGUGAGACAGGUGCUGCAUGGCUGUCGUCAGCUCGUGUUGUGAAAUGUUGGGUUAAGUCCCGCAACGAGCGCAACCCUUAUCCUUUGUUGCCAGCGGUCCGGGCGGGAACUCAAAGGAAACUGCCAGUGAUAAACUGGAAGAAGGGGGGGAUGACCUCCAGUCAUCAUGGCCCUUACGACCAGGGCUACCCACCUGCUACAAUGGCGCAUACAAAGAGAAGCGACCUCGCGAGAGCAAGCGGACCUCAUAAAGUGCGUCCUAAUCCGGAGUGGAGUCUGCAACUCCACUCCCUGAAGUCGGAAUCCCUAGUAAUCGUGGAUCAAAAUGUCACGGGGAAAACUUUUCCUGUGCUUGUACACACCCCCCCCCUGAAAA